Long non-coding RNA from Thalassophryne amazonica, 1180 nucleotides. RefSeq lists it as uncharacterized. NCBI's taxonomy places the organism in Eukaryota, Metazoa, Chordata, Actinopteri, Batrachoidiformes, Batrachoididae. The transcript has 3 exons. The record is from RefSeq and is a predicted model, not a curated record.
CCCGUACCUAACCGAACAGGUGUCGAUGCAGAUGUGCCAUCGCACACAUCAAAGAGAGGAAUGUGGUAGAGGAAGCGAGCCCGUCCUCGGCCACCGGCGCUGGCGCCCAAACGCGCUGCUGCACGCCUUCUCUUCACCUGGACACCAGCCCACGAGCCUCUUCACCUCUUAUCCAAAAAGCCUUUUUUCCUCAGUCUCCUGCGGAUCUUACACGGCGCCCUCAACAGCAGUGGAUAAUCAGGUAUCCUUUACUUCCUCUGAGUUUAUUCUACUGCAGUUCCUGAGCAAGACUUGCAACUUCACUUAUUUCAUAAAUCAGAAGCUAUGUUCCAUUGAAGAUGAAAGUAUUAAUGAAAAUCUAGACUGAGCAGAAAAAUCUACAGGACACGUGGAGGAAACAUCCCACCCCCACCUCUUCACAUCAAAAAGGCCAUCCAGAGUAAAAAGGCCAGUCGAUGCACCGUUGCGCGCCCAUCUCAGCCACACGUCUCCUCCAGCCAGCAUCCAGAAGCAGCGCCGCCCACCGUCUCAUCCAUUUUCCUCUUUGAUUUCAUCGCAGAGUGAAGUAAUGUUACAAAAGUUUUACAAGAAAAACCGCGACAAAACCCAGAAAAGCCGAGACCGGAUCAAAUCUUUUUUUUUUUUUCUGUUGCCAAGCAAACAAGGAGCAUUUUACUCCGCAGUCUCAAUAAUGCAGACUGCUUUCAGCCCCGCAGAGCAUUAGGAUUUUAAGUGAGCAUGAAACACAAACCCUUCAAGCAGAUUAAAUUUCAAAUCAAGCAGGCCAUGUAAAUGAUGUGGUGACAGGGGGCCCAGUUCAAUUAGCAUGCCAGACUCAUGUUAAAGUAAUUAGGCAAAACAGACGGCAAGAGCACCCGGGCUAAGCACAAGCAGAAAAGAAGGACAAACAUUUCCAUAUUGUUCUUCGGGACAAGAGCGCAUGCGUGUCUGUGUGUGUGUGUGUGUGUGUGUCUGUGCAUUUUGUUUGAGGUCUUCCAGCACUUGACUUGCUUGCGGAUUUCUCAGAGGGAGUAAAAGGUUAAUGGGAGCUAGACUUUGUUUACUGACAGCACGCUGAGCCCUUUCGGAAAGACGACGGAAAUAAAGAAAACAAAUGCUGUGCAACUUGUUUAAAAAAAAAAAAAUGAGGAAAGGAAAGGGGAAAAACACUGACUCGCGA